AAUGAGAUGCCUGAUAAAAAGGACUACUUUGAUAGAGUUGAUGAUGUGAUUCCCGACCCACUCUCAUUA
RNAcentral lists this transfer RNA (69 nucleotides) under Cobelura sp. KM-2017. RNAcentral describes it as "tRNA-Ile". The record is from RNAcentral. Lineage: Eukaryota; Metazoa; Arthropoda; Insecta; Coleoptera; Cerambycidae.